This 387-nucleotide unclassified non-coding RNA is filed under the name Hevea brasiliensis (rubber tree). The record is from RNAcentral. Lineage: Eukaryota; Viridiplantae; Streptophyta; Magnoliopsida; Malpighiales; Euphorbiaceae.
GCCUCCGCAACAAAACCUCGUCUCUCGAUCGCUCAGCUCUCCGAAUCCGGCGGUAAGACGAAAACGACGGGGCCUCGUUGAUCCGAACCAGAUCGGUGAAGGAAUCGAAGACGUCGAAUGGGGAAGGUCGAAGAGGACGAUGGGUGAACAGGUCGAAGGCAAAAUCGAAGUCAUCCACUUGUUCGACGAAGGAUUGGAAGGGGAAUGAGAGAGGUUCGGGGAGAACAAUGGAGGUUUGGGCGUCGGUAAGAAGAAGAGAAGGGCAGUGGGAGUAGUAAGGGUCAAUGAGCUGGAAUCUGCUGAAUCUGCUCAUGGUUUGAAAGUGAAGGAAGAUGAAUGGAGGAGGAAAGGGAAAUGGAAGGAGAAUGAGAUUUGUAGGAUGCCGGA